GACGAACGCUGGCGGCGUGCCUAAUACAUGCAAGUCGAGCGGACUGAUUAAGAGCUUGCUCUUAUGACGUUAGCGGCGGACGGGUGAGUAACACGUGGGCAACCUGCCCUGUAGAUCGGGAUAACACCGAGAAAUCGGUGCUAAUACCGGGUAAUAUCUGAGAUCACAUGAUCUUAGGUUAAAAGAUGGCUCCGGCUAUCACUACAGGAUGGGCCCGCGGCGCAUUAGCUAGUUGGUAAGGGAAUGGCUUACCAAGGCGACGAUGCGUAGCCGACCUGAGGGGGUGAUCGGCCACACUGGGACUGAGACACGGCCCAGACUCCUACGGGAGGCAGCAGUAGGGAAUCUUCCGCAAUGGACGAAAGUCUGACGGAGCAACGCCGCGUGAGUGAUGAAGGGUUUCGGCUCGUAAAGCUCUGUUGUUAGGGCAGAAACAGUACCGAACGAACUAGGUCGGUACCUUGACGGUACCUAACCAGAAAGCCACGGCUAACUACGUG
RNAcentral lists this ribosomal RNA (500 nucleotides) under uncultured bacterium. RNAcentral's name for it is "partial 16S ribosomal RNA". It matches the Rfam family "Bacterial small subunit ribosomal RNA", at positions 28 to 507 of the family's 1533-position model. The record is from RNAcentral.